Molecule: ribosomal RNA, 494 nt
Filed under: uncultured bacterium
Lineage: Bacteria
Description: partial 16S ribosomal RNA
Rfam family: Bacterial small subunit ribosomal RNA
Source: RNAcentral
GACGAACGCUGGCGGCGCGCUUAACACAUGCAAGUCGAACGGAAAGGCCUGCUUUCCCUUGUGGCUUGCGGGUACUCGAGUGGCGAACGGGUGAGUAACACGUGAGUGAUCUGCCCCCAACUUGGGUAUAAGCCUGGGAAACUGGGUCUAAUUCCCGAUAGGACUGCAGGGUGGUGCCUGUGGUGGAAAACGAUUUUCUAGUGGUUGGGGAUGAGCUCGCGGCCUAUCAGCUUGUUGGUGGGGGAAUGGCCUACCAAGGCGGCGACGGGUAGCCGGCCUGGGGGGGGGGGCGGCCCCAUUGGGCCUGGGUGCCGGCCCCGACUCCGACGGGGGGCGGGGUGGGGGAUUAUGGCAGCAGGGGCGGAGCCCUGCUGCGGCGCCCCGGGGGGGGGGAGCCCGCCUUUGGGGUUGUAACCUCUUUUCGCCGGGGGGGAAGCCCCGUGGUUGGAGGGGGGGUGGCGGUGGUGGAAGAAAAAGCCCCGGCUAACUCCGUG